AGAGUUUGAUCCUGGCUCAGAGCGAACGCUGGCGGCAGGCCUAACACAUGCAAGUCGAGCGCCCGUAGCAAUACGGGAGCGGCAGACGGGUGCGUAACGCGUGGGAAUGUACCUCUAGGUACGGAACAACCCAGGGAAACUUGGGCUAAUACCGUAUAAUAUCUUCGGAUCAAAGAUUUAUCGCCUAGAGAUCAGCCCGCGUAGGAUUAGCUAGUUGGUGAGGUAAUGGCUCACCAAGGCAACGAUCCUUAGCUGGUCUGAGAGGAUGAUCAGCCAGACUGGGACUGAGACACGGCCCAGACUCCUACGGGAGGCAGCAGUGGGGAAUUUUGGACAAUGGGGGAAACCCUGAUCCAGCAAUGCCGCGUGUGUGAAGAAGGCCUUCGGGUUGUAAAGCACUUUUGUCCGGAAAGAAAACCUCUUGGAUAAUACCUGAGGGGGAUGACGGUACCGGAAGAAUAAGCACCGGCUAACUACGUGCCAGCAGCCGCGGUAAUC
RNAcentral lists this ribosomal RNA (498 nucleotides) under uncultured bacterium. Its description in RNAcentral is "bacterial SSU rRNA". It matches the Rfam family "Bacterial small subunit ribosomal RNA", at positions 8 to 525 of the family's 1533-position model. The record is from RNAcentral.